RNAcentral lists this ribosomal RNA (496 nucleotides) under uncultured bacterium. Its description in RNAcentral is "partial 16S ribosomal RNA". It matches the Rfam family "Bacterial small subunit ribosomal RNA", at positions 28 to 506 of the family's 1533-position model. The record is from RNAcentral.
GAUGAACGCUGGCGGCGUGCCUAAUACAUGCAAGUCGAGCGAACAGACGAGGAGCUUGCUCCUUUGACGUUAGCGGCGGACGGGUGAGUAACACGUAGGUAACCUACCUAUAAGACUGGGAUAACUUCGGGAAACCGGAGCUAAUACAGGAUAAUAUUUCGAACCGCAUGGUUCGAUAGUGAAAGAUGGCUUUGCUAUCACUUAUAGAUGGACCUGCGCCGGAUUAGCUAGUUGGUAAGGUAACGGAUUACCAAGGCAACGAUACGUAGCCGACCUGAGAGGGUGAUCGGCCACACAGGAACUGAGACACGGUCCAGACUCCUACGGGAGGCAGCAGUAGGGAAUCUACCGCAAUGGGCGAAAGCCUGACGGAGCAACGCCGCGUGAGUGAUGAAGGUCUUCGGAUCGUAAAACACUGUUAUUAGGGAAGAACAAACGUGUAAGUAACUGUGCACGUCUUGACGGUACCUAAUCAGAAAGCCACGGCUAACUACGU